CGGAGGGUGCAAGCGUUGUUCGGAUUUAUUGGGCGUAAAGCGCGUGUAGGCGGUUUCUUAAGUCUGAUGUGAAAGCCCUGGGCUCAACCCAGGAAGUGCAUUGGAUACUGGGAGACUUGAAUACGGGAGAGGGCAGUGGAAUUCCUAGUGUAGGAGUGAAAUCCGUAGAUAUUAGGAGGAACACCGGUGGCGAAGGCGGCUGCCUGGACCGAUAUUGACGCUGAGACGCGAAAGCGUGGGGAGCAAACAGGAUUAGAUACCCUGGUAGUCCACGCCGUAAACGAUGAGAACUAGGUGUUGCGGGUAUUGACCCCUGCAGUGCCACAGCUAACGCAUUAAGUUCUCCGCCUGGGAAGUACGGUCGCAAGACUA
This 372-nucleotide ribosomal RNA is filed under the name uncultured organism. RNAcentral's name for it is "bacterial SSU rRNA". It matches the Rfam family "Bacterial small subunit ribosomal RNA", at positions 526 to 896 of the family's 1533-position model. The record is from RNAcentral.